GCCGGGCGUCGUGGCGCACGCCUGUAAUCCUAGCUACUCGGGAGGCUGAGGCAGGAGAAUUGCUCGAACCCAGGAGGUAGAGGUUGCAGUGAGCCAAGAUCGCGUCACUGCACUCUAGCCUGGGCGACAGAGUGGGACUCCGUCUCAA
Molecule: non-coding RNA, 148 nt
Filed under: Pan troglodytes (chimpanzee)
Lineage: Eukaryota; Metazoa; Chordata; Mammalia; Primates; Hominidae
Source: Rfam by way of RNAcentral